AAGCCUGUGAAGGUGUCUUGUAAAGGAUGCUGGAGGUAUCAGAAGUGCGAAUGCUGACAUGAGUAGCGUUAAAGGGGGUGAAAAGCCCCCUCGCCGUAAGCGCAAGGUUUUCUACGCAACGUUCAUCGGCGUAGAGUGAGUCGGCCCCUAAGGCGAGGCAGAGAUGCGUAGCUGAUGGGAAACAGGUCAAUAUU
Molecule: ribosomal RNA, 194 nt
Filed under: Apocalathium aciculiferum
Lineage: Eukaryota; Dinophyceae; Thoracosphaerales; Thoracosphaeraceae
Description: partial Bacterial large subunit ribosomal RNA
Rfam family: Bacterial large subunit ribosomal RNA
Source: RNAcentral